Molecule: ribosomal RNA, 773 nt
Filed under: uncultured Neocallimastigales
Lineage: Eukaryota; Fungi; Neocallimastigomycota; Neocallimastigomycetes; Neocallimastigales
Description: partial large subunit ribosomal RNA
Rfam family: Eukaryotic large subunit ribosomal RNA
Source: RNAcentral
GAGAGAGACAUGCGCGCAUAUCAAUAAGCGGAGGAAAAGAAACUAACAAGGAUUCCCCUAGUAACGGCGAGUGAAGCGGGAAGAGCUCAAAUUUGAAAUCUUAAAGGGUUUCCCUUUACGAAUUGUAGUUUAAAGAAGUGUUUUCUGUUGAGGUUUUGGUAAAAGUUCUUUGGAAUAGGACAUCAUAGAGGGUGAGAAUCCCGUAUUUGACCUUUACUUUCAACUUUGUGAUACACUUUCAAAGAGUCGGAUUGUUUGGGAAUGCAGUCCAAAAUGGGUGGUAAAUUUCAUCUAAAGCUAAAUAUUGGCGAGAGACCGAUAGCGAACAAGUACCGUGAGGGAAAGAUGAAAAGAACUUUGAAAAGAGAGUUAAACAGUACGUGAAAUUGUCAAAAGGGAAGCGUUUGACACCAGUGUUGUUUUUCUGAAAAUCAAUUAAAGAACUGUUUAUGCUAAGCUGUUUAGACUUUAUCAGCUAACUGUUUAGUUUUGAGCUUUUCUUUAAUGCACUUUUCAGUUAACAAGUCAACAUCAAUUUCUUUUGCUGUAAAAAAGCUUGAGGAAGGUGGCUUGAGAUUCGUCUUAAGUGUUUAUAGCCUCUUGCCUAUGCAGUCGGAGAGAUUGAGGUCUGCAGCGUAGAUCCUUCGGGGCUAAAUGCAUUUGUGCUAAGUUAUAGCAUUUUAUAGACAACUUGUUGACUAUGAUUUGUCUUGUAGCUUACUCGCUUAUGUUAUUUUACCUACGCUUAGGAUGUUGAGCGCAUGUCUCUCUCU